GACGAACGCUGGCGGCGUGCUUAACACAUGCAAGUCGAACGAUGAAGCCGGAGCUUGCUCUGGUGAAUUAGUGGCGAACGGGUGAGUAACACGUGAGUAACCUGCCCUUGACUCUGGGAUAACUGCGGGAAACUGUAGCUAAUACCGGAUACGACCCUCGGAGGCAUCUCCUGGGGGUGGAAAGAAUUUUGGUCAAGGAUGGACUCGCGGCCUAUCAGCUAGUUGGUGAGGUAAAGGCUCACCAAGGCGACGACGGGUAGCCGGCCUGAGAGGGUGACCGGCCACACUGGGACUGAGACACGGCCCAGACUCCUACGGGAGGCAGCAGUGCGGAAUAUUGCACAAUGGGCGCAAGCCUGAUGCAGCAACGCCGCGUGAGGGAUGACGGCAUUCGGGUUGUAAACCUCUUUUAGCAGGGAAGAAGCGAAAGUGACGGUACCUGCAGAAAAAGCACCGGCUAACUACGUGUCAGCAGCCGCCGUAA
This 484-nucleotide ribosomal RNA is filed under the name uncultured bacterium. RNAcentral's name for it is "partial 16S ribosomal RNA". It matches the Rfam family "Bacterial small subunit ribosomal RNA", at positions 28 to 523 of the family's 1533-position model. The record is from RNAcentral.